RNAcentral lists this ribosomal RNA (471 nucleotides) under uncultured bacterium. RNAcentral describes it as "partial 16S ribosomal RNA". It matches the Rfam family "Bacterial small subunit ribosomal RNA", at positions 28 to 507 of the family's 1533-position model. The record is from RNAcentral.
GACGAACGCUGGCGGCGUGCUUAACACAUGCAAGUCGAACGGAAAGGCCCUGCUUGCCGGGUGCUCGAGUGGCGAACGGGUGAGUAACACGUGGGUGAUCUGCACCUUACUUUGGGAUAAGCCUGGGAAACUGGGUCUAAUACUGGAUAGGACCAUGCUGUAGGUGGUGUGGUGGAAAGAUUUUUUCGGUAAGGGAUGAGCUCGCGGCCUAUCAGCUUGUUGGUGGGGUAAUGGCCUACCAAGGCGUCGACGGGUAGCCGGCCUGAGAGGGUGGACGGCCACAUUGGGACUGAGAUACGGCCCAGACUCCUACGGGAGGCAGCAGUGGGGAAUAUUGCACAAUGGGCGCAAGCCUGAUGCAGCGACGCCGCGUGGGGGAUGACGGCCUUCGGGUUGUAAACUCCUUUCAGCCAUGACGAAGCCUCUUUUGGGGUGACGGUAGUGGUAGAAGAAGCACCGGCUAACUACGUG